RNAcentral lists this long non-coding RNA (2405 nucleotides) under Elaeis guineensis (African oil palm). RNAcentral's name for it is "long non-coding RNA (EGUI_LNC005048)". Lineage: Eukaryota; Viridiplantae; Streptophyta; Magnoliopsida; Arecales; Arecaceae. The record is from RNAcentral.
CCCCCCUUCCGUUUUUCCGUAUCUCUCUCUCUCUCUCUCAUUUUCUCUCCCGUGGAUCUCUCCCUGUUACUCUCUCUCUCUCUUUCCACCGUAUGUUCUCACUCUUCUGAAUAUAUCUCUUUUCUUUCUACUCUGGGCUAGCUUCUGAGGGGCUUUGCUUCCUUCUGCUCCCACCCCAUGAUCAGGUCUACCUGUGAUAAGAAGCAGGGUAAGGUUGAUAUCCAUUUCCCCCAUUGAAAAUUAGAGAUUGAUCGGAUUUUUGAGAAUUUUAAAAAUUAUUUUGAAUAUUAGCGUGUCGUUGAGCAAAUCCAAUUGUUAGGUCUUGAAGCAUUUAUGUGUGUAACCAGAUUAAACUUAUCUUAAUUCUUAUCAUUUGUGAGAUAAGUGACUUAAUACUUUUUGGCAUGCUUUUAAAAUAAUUUAAUAAUUUUCAUAUCUCUUUAAUUGAAUAGUCCAGCAUGCUACAUUAUUUUUGAUUUAUGAAUAAAUACAUAUUUUGAUAUUUUCACAAGUAAAUGAUUGGAAUAUAUGAUCUGCUCUGAGUAAGGAUUUUACAAAAAACACGACUAAGUAACUUAUGAAAUCACUUUCGUAUACAUUUCGUAUGGCUAUGAUCUAUUCUGAUCCCACAAAUGGAGAUUAUAUAUUGGAUCUGUCGAUUUGUAAUCUGAGAAACUAGUUUCCAUACCACACCAUCGGUAAUUAGAAUAGUGGACAUUUAUCUGAUCCAUACCACUGAGUUACGUGGCUAUAGCUAAAUAUCGGAGCUAGUAUUAUUUUAUGGAAAGCAAGUUUUGAAAAAUAAAAGAAGUAUUAUUCUUUGAUAUUUGUUAUUAUUGAAUUUUGCCCAGUCAGUAAUAUCUGUUUAAUUUUAUUAUAAAUUAAUAUACUUUGACUUAUCUUGAAGUAUUUUAUUAUUUACUGGGAUAGUGUAGCUCAUUAUUGUUCUCUUUUUAUUUUUCAGAUUUUGAUUUGAGAGAGCGCGCUAGUUAUCCGAAGCAUUUAGGAGAUCUUAAUUUGCAAGAAUCAAGAUUGUCAUGUUAUUAAUUUAAAAUUAUUAUAAAAUAGUUAGAUUUAUCUAUUUUUUAAGUCUGUCUUGCAUAUCUGUAGGGUCCAUCUCACAGAUAUGCGGUGUCUGUUGCAAGCUCGGUUCGAGGCGCGACACCCAGCAUAAAACAAGUCUUUAGGGUAUAGCUAGAAAGAAUUCAAGCUAAUCAAAGUAGCUUAGUAUUGGCUUGAUCAUAAGCUCAUUUAACUAUAGAUUGCUAGGAAAUGAGUUGAGCUCAAACAAAUUCCGAAAGCUUGGCUCCUAAAUCAGCAAAGCCUGGAUUUUAAAAGCUUACAAAAUAUAUGAAAGCUUGGUGUAGAUCUUGGAUGAGUCGAGUUCGAACACCUUCCAUUAAGCUUAACUCACGUUCGACUCAUACUCAAUCAGCUCUUUUACAUAGCGCUCAAUUAGCAUGGCUUGUUCACCCCCCAAGCCUCAGGUUGUGAUGGAUACGAUGUUUAACACUCCCCAGAAAUAAUAUAAGAUACGAUAAAAAUAUCCGUUAGAAAUUAAAAAAAGUAUUGAAGCUGAUUUUUGGGAAGCCUAGGAGCUUUUCUAUAAAAAUCACAAAAUUGGACGAGCUAGCAAUACAUAGUUUUCAAAGAUCACUUGCAAUAGAAGGGGACAAGAUAAAGGUCUGUAAGACUGGUAAGCCUCCUUUAUACCUGGUGACACGAUAUCUCACGUGACCACCGGAAAGAAAUAAGCAUGCCAUUGUGUGGAUGGAUCCUUUGAUCUCAUGCAGGGAUCGAAAUGGGUCAGGUUCUGGUUGGGUUGAAACAGGUUCAAAAGAAAUAGACCAAUAUGCAGGUGUCGAAAUGGGUCGGAUUUGUAUUGGGUUGAAACAGAUUCCUGUCAAAAAAACACCCAACCCAUACUCAUUCAUAAAAUGGAUUGGUAUCGGGAUUGAUAAUUACUGACCUAAACUUAAAAAUAGCCAACUUGAACCAGUAUUGGUUUGGGUGGGUUCAUGCGGAUUGAAAGUUGGAGUUGGGUUUUGCCGGCCUUAAUAAUCUUACCGUCCUAAAAUAUUGAAUUUGAAACUUUGAUGAAUGCUUGAUCGUCCCACCAAUAUCCAUAAAAUUUUGCUAUGGUACUCUAUAAAUAUUAUUUUAUUAUAAAAAAUAUUUAAAAUAUUUUACUAUCAUAUUUUUAUAAUUUUAUUAUUUUUCUAAAUAUAAUAUUUUAUUUUUAAAAUUUUUCUUCUUGUUCUUCGUAAUUUCUUUUGGCCGGCCGUCUUUCCACCGCCACCCACUGCCCCCCAUCCUCCUCCUUCGCCCGCCCUCCCCUCAUGACAUCACUCACGGCUUCUCCACUCCCAUCCGAACCCCCGAUGCCACCCGCAACUCCUCCGCCC